RNAcentral lists this ribosomal RNA (466 nucleotides) under uncultured bacterium. Its description in RNAcentral is "partial 16S ribosomal RNA". It matches the Rfam family "Bacterial small subunit ribosomal RNA", at positions 28 to 507 of the family's 1533-position model. The record is from RNAcentral.
GACGAACGCUGGCGGCGCGCCUAACACAUGCAAGUCGAACGAGCGAGUCAGGGCUUGCUUUCUUGAGCUAGUUGCGAACGGGUGAGUAACCCGUGAGGAACCUGCCUCACAGAGGGGGACAACAUUUGGCAACGACUGCUAAUACCGCAUAAGCCCACGGUCCCGUAUGGCACCGAGGGAAAAAGAGCAUUCCGCUUUGAGAUGGCCUCGCGUCGGAUUAGCUAGUUGGUGAGGUAACGGCCCACCAAGGCGACGAUCGGUAGCCGGACUGAGAGGUUGAGCGGCCACAUUGGGACUGAGACACGGCCCAGACUCCUACGGGAGGCAGCAGUGGGGAAUAUUGCACAAUGGGGGAAAGCCUGAUGCAGCGACGCCGCGUGAAUGAUGAAGGUCUUAGGAUUGUAAACUCCUUUUGUUGGGGAAGAUAAUGACGGUACCCGGAGAAGAAGCGACGGCUAACUACGUG